AGAGGAAGAAAAUUUGAUAGUUGUACCUUUUGUAUCAGGGGAAUUCAAAAAUAGGUGUAUAGAUUAACCGAGUUUACCUGAUCUUCUUUGUUUGGGUGGGUAGUAAAAUUUAACCACUAUAAAUAAGUAAGGGGUGAAAAGUGACCGGAGGUAAUAGUAUCUGAUUGUUUUAGUGUUUAAAGGGGUCAGCCUUUUAAUUUCUAUUAAAUGAAAUGUUAAAAAAUCUAGGCUUUAGAUUAGCCAAGUUGUUAAGUUGUUUUAAGUAAUUUUAUAGUAGCAGACAAUAGAAUAGAGUUAAAUAGACAAUGCAUAGUCGUAAUAAUUUUCAAUUAUAAUGAGUUUAUUGAAUUAAUAGUGGAGCCAUUAAAUAACUCGCAGUAUGUUAGAAAGUUUAACAAAAACAUUUCUGUUUGUUUAAAUAAAAGUAAGGCCUGCCCGGUGUGUAUUAAACGGCUGCAGUAUUUUGACUGUGCUAAGGUAGCAUAAUCAUUUGUUUUUUAAUUGGUAGCUGGAAUGAAAGGCUAAACUAGCUUAUUUGGUUUGUAAGGCUAAAAAAUAAAUUAAAGUCAAGGUAAUAAUUCUUUGAUCUUCUAGGGGACGAUAAGACCCUAGAAGCUUGAUAAAAUGAAUAUUUGUUAGUAGUGGAGUUUAAUUUAGUUUACUGGGGCGGUAGUAGUGUGUGAACCACUAAAGUUUUGAGCGAUCCUUUACAUAAAGAUAAGUCGGGUAAGUUACUCUAGGGAUAACAGUGCGAUAUAUUUGGAGAGAUCUUAUCGAUAAAUAUGAUUGCAACCUCGAUGUUGAAUUAAAAUAUCUAAGUGGGGUAGGCGACACAUGAGAGGGUUUGUUCAACC
RNAcentral lists this ribosomal RNA (854 nucleotides) under Gammarus sp. 4 ZH-2007. RNAcentral's name for it is "partial 16S ribosomal RNA". The stretch from base 565 to 854 matches the Rfam family "Bacterial large subunit ribosomal RNA", at positions 2046 to 2586 of the family's 2925-position model. Lineage: Eukaryota; Metazoa; Arthropoda; Malacostraca; Amphipoda; Gammaridae. The record is from RNAcentral.